AAGAUAAGGCAAUCCAAUUCUCAAGCUAUCAUCAAUGGAGGCUGCUCUCUUCAGCUUACCUUCCUCUUCCUCUCACUCUUACCCAUUUUCCGUGAAAUCCCACUUCAACAAUCCCUUCAUAAUCCCCCAUUCCAGUUCUCACCUCAAACUCAAACCCAGAACUCUAACUAUUCGUUCAGCCAUUAGCAGAACCAAGAAAGAAGAAACAGUCGAAACAGUGAAGCAACAGCUUGAAGAUUGUUAUCUCUUAGCUGGAAUCAGUUACAAGGGGUUAACAGUUAAGCAAUUUCAAGAUCUUAGGGCUCAACUCCCAGAAACAACAAAGCUUCUUGUUGCUAAGAACACAUUGGUACUUAAAGCAAUUGAAGGGACAAAAUGGGAAGCAUUGAAACCAUGUAUGAAGGGAAUGAAUGCUUGGUUAUUUGUUCAUAGUGAAGAAAUCCCAGCUGCUUUGAAACCUUAUAGGACUUUUCUAAGGGAGAAGAAAUUGGAAGAUAAUGAUUUUACUGGUGGGGUUUUUGAAGGGAAGUUUUAUGGGCCUGAUGAGUUUAAGGUGCUUGAGAAUUUGCCUACAAGAGCUGAGAUUUAUUCACAGCUUCUUGGGUCUUUGAAAGGACCUGCUUCAGCUGUUGUUGGGACUAUUCAAGCUCCAGCAAGGAAUUUGGUUAUGGUUCUUAAGGCUUAUGUAAAGAAAUUGGAGGAGGAAGAAGGUGGAAGUCAAUAAUUUUUGUUGUAAUUCUUGGAUAUGGUAAGCUAAUACUAUUGUCUAUUUGGAUCAAUAUUUGAAAUUUUUCUGAGAGAUGGAAUUUUGUAAAUUUUAUGUUUUUGGUAGAAUGAAUUUAUCCUUGGCCAAUUGUUCUAAAUUUGUGUCCUCGUAUUUGGCGGAUAAUUAUCUGGAUUACUUCAUAACUGUUUGAGAGGAUUUGUGUUAUGUG
Molecule: unclassified non-coding RNA, 935 nt
Filed under: Hevea brasiliensis (rubber tree)
Lineage: Eukaryota; Viridiplantae; Streptophyta; Magnoliopsida; Malpighiales; Euphorbiaceae
Source: RNAcentral